Molecule: ribosomal RNA, 414 nt
Filed under: uncultured bacterium
Lineage: Bacteria
Description: bacterial SSU rRNA
Rfam family: Bacterial small subunit ribosomal RNA
Source: RNAcentral
GGGGAAUAUUGCACAAUGGGCGCAAGCCUGAUGCAGCAACGCCGCGUGAGUGAAGAAGUAUUUCGGUAUGUAAAGCUCUAUCAGCAGGGAAGAAAGGCUCUUCGGAGAGAUGACGGUACCUGACUAAGAAGCCCCGGCUAACUACGUGCCAGCAGCCGCGGUAAUACGUAGGGGGCAAGCGUUAUCCGGAUUUACUGGGUGUAAAGGGAGCGCAGACGGCAGUGCAAGUCUGAUGUGAAAGCCCGGGGCUCAACCCCGGAACUGCAUUGGAAACUGUACAGCUUGAGUGUCGGAGAGGUAAGCGGAAUUCCUAGUGUAGCGGUGAAAUGCGUAGAUAUUAGGAGGAACACCGGUGGCGAAGGCGGCUUACUGGACGAUGACUGACGUUGAGGCUCGAAAGCGUGGGGAGCAAAC